UAUAUAAGAGUUUGAUCCUGGCUCAGGAUGAACGCUGGCUGUGUGCCUAAUACAUGCAUGUCGAACGAGUAGCUUGCUACUAGUGGCGAAUGGGUGAGUAACACGUGCUUAAUCUACCUUUUAGAUUGGGAUAACAAACGGAAACAUUUGCUAAUACCGGAUAUGUAUUAAGAUCGCAUGAUUUUAAUAUGAAAGGAGCCUUAAAGCUUCACUAAAAGAUGAGGGCGCGGAACAUUAGUUAGUUGGUAGGGUAAUGGCCUACCAAGACUAUGAUGUUUAGCCGGGUUGAGAAACUGAACGGCCACACUGGGACUGAGAUACGGCCCAGACUCCUACGGGAGGCAGCAGUAGGGAAUAUUCCACAAUGGGCGAAAGCCUGAUGGAGCGACACAGCGUGCAUGAUGAAGGCCUUCGGGUUGUAAAGUGCUGUUAUUAGGGAAGAACACUAAAAAUAGGAAAUGAUUUUUAGCUGACGGUACCUAAUCAGAAAGCGAUGGCUAACUAUGUGCCAGCAGCCGCGGUAAUACAUAGGUCGCAAGCGUUAUCCGGAAUUAUUGGGCGUAAAGCGUUCGUAGGUUGUUUGUUAAGUCUGGUGUCAAAGCCCGGGGCUCAACCCCGGUAUGCAUUAGAUACUGACAAACUAGAAUUAGAUAGAGGUAAGCGGAAUUCCAUGUGAAGCGGUGAAAUGCGUAGAUAUAUGGAAGAACACCAAAGGCGAAGGCAGCUUACUGGGUCUAUAUUGACACUGAGGGACGAAAGCGUGGGGAGCAAACAGGAUUAGAUACCCUGGUAGUCCACGCUGUAAACGAUGAUCAUUAGUCGGUGGAGAAUUCACUGACGCAGCUAACGCAUUAAAUGAUCCGCCUGAGUAGUAUGCUCGCAAGAGUGAAACUUAAAGGAAUUGACGGGGACUCGCACAAGCGGUGGAGCAUGUGGUUUAAUUUGAAGAUACGCGGAGAACCUUACCCACUCUUGACAUCUUUCGCAAAGCUAUAGAGAUAUAGUGGAGGUUAACGGAAUGACAGAUGGUGCAUGGUUGUCGUCAGCUCGUGUCGUGAGAUGUUAGGUUAAGUCCUAUAACGAGCGCAACCCCUAUUUUUAGUUACUAACGGAUAAUGCUGAGGACUCUAGAAAUACUGCCUGGGUAACCAGGAGGAAGGUGGGGAUGACGUCAAAUCAUCAUGCCUCUUACGAGUGGGGCUACACACGUGCUACAAUGGUCGGUACAAAGAGAUGCAAUACGGUGACGUGGAGCAAAUCUCAAAAAGCCGAUCUCAGUUCGGAUUGAAGUCUGCAACUCGACUUCAUGAAGUCGGAAUCGCUAGUAAUCGCAAAUCAGCAACGUUGCGGUGAAUACGUUCUCGAGUCUUGUACACACCGCCCGUCACACCAUGGGAGCUGGUAAUGCCCGAAGCCGGUUUGUUAACUUCGGAGACGACUGUCUAAGGUAGGACCGGUGACUGGGGUGAAGUCGUAACAAGGUAUCCCUACGAGAACGUGGGGAUGGAUCACCUCCUUUCUACGGA
Molecule: ribosomal RNA, 1526 nt
Filed under: Mycoplasma miroungirhinis
Lineage: Bacteria; Bacillati; Mycoplasmatota; Mollicutes; Mycoplasmatales; Mycoplasmataceae
Description: bacterial SSU rRNA
Rfam family: Bacterial small subunit ribosomal RNA
Source: RNAcentral